Molecule: ribosomal RNA, 165 nt
Filed under: uncultured bacterium
Lineage: Bacteria
Description: partial 16S ribosomal RNA
Rfam family: Bacterial small subunit ribosomal RNA
Source: RNAcentral
UAGGGAAUCUUCCACAAUGGACGAAAGUCUGAUGGAGCAACGCCGCGUGAGUGAAGAAGGGUUUCGGCUCGUAAAACUCUGUUGUUAAAGAAGAACAUAUCUGAGAGUAACUGUUCAGGUAUUGACGGUAUUUAACCAGAAAGCCACGGCUAACUACGUGCCAAG